UACGGAGGGUGCAAGCGUUACUCGGAAUCACUGGGCGUAAAGGGCGCGUAGGCCGGCUAAUAAGUCAGAGGUGAAAUACAACGGCUUAACCGUUGAACUGCUUUUGAAACUGUUAGCCUAGAGUGUGGGAGAGGCAGAUGGAAUUGGUGGUGUAGGGGUAAAAUCCGUAGAGAUCACCAGGAAUACCCAUUGCGAAGGCGAUCUGCUGGAACACUACUGACGCUGAGGCGCGAAAGCGUGGGGAGCAAACAGG
This 253-nucleotide ribosomal RNA is filed under the name uncultured bacterium. RNAcentral describes it as "partial 16S ribosomal RNA". It matches the Rfam family "Bacterial small subunit ribosomal RNA", at positions 524 to 776 of the family's 1533-position model. The record is from RNAcentral.